RNAcentral lists this non-coding RNA (29 nucleotides) under Mus musculus (house mouse). Lineage: Eukaryota; Metazoa; Chordata; Mammalia; Rodentia; Muridae. The record is from RNAcentral.
UGCUAACCUUAACGUUUGGAUCGGGCACA